RNAcentral lists this ribosomal RNA (253 nucleotides) under uncultured bacterium. RNAcentral describes it as "partial 16S ribosomal RNA". It matches the Rfam family "Bacterial small subunit ribosomal RNA", at positions 524 to 776 of the family's 1533-position model. The record is from RNAcentral.
UACGUAGGGGGCAAGCGUUGUCCGGAUUUACUGGGCGUAAAGAGCGCGUAGGCGGCAGCUUAAGCGGUGCCUGAAAGCCCCCGGCUCAACCGGGGAGGGUGGUGCCGAACUGGGCUGCUUGAGGGCGAUAGAGGAGAGUGGAAUUCCGGGUGUAGCGGUGAAAUGCGUAGAGAUCCGGAGGAACACCGAAGGCGAAGGCAGUGUCCUGGGGAGUGCCUGACGCUCAGGUGCGAAAGCCAGGGGAGCGAACAGG